Small nuclear RNA from Balaenoptera musculus (blue whale), 103 nucleotides. The record is from Ensembl. NCBI's taxonomy places the organism in Eukaryota, Metazoa, Chordata, Mammalia, Artiodactyla, Balaenopteridae.
GCUCACUUCAUCAGCACAUACUAAAAUUGGAACAAUACGGAGAAGAUUAGCACGGUCCCUGUGCAGGGAUGACACGCAAAUUCGUGAAGCGUUCCACAUUUUU